GACGAACGCUGGCGGCGUGCUUUACACAUGCAAGUCGAGCGGUGAACCGCCUUCGGGUGGGAAUCAGCGGCGAACGGGUGAGUAACACGUGGGCAACCUGCCCCGAGCACCGGAAUAACUUCGGGAAACCGAAGCUAAUGCCGGAUACGUCAACGGACCGCAUGGUCUCGUUGUGGAAAGAAUUUCGGCUCGGGAUGGGCCCGCGGACUAUCAGCUUGUUGGUGGGGUAACGGCCUACCAAGGCUAUGACGGAUAGCCGGCCUGAGAGGGCGACCGGCCACACUGGGACUGAGACACGGCCCAGACUCCUACGGGAGGCAGCAGUGGGGAAUAUUGCGCAAUGGGCGAAAGCCUGACGCAGCAACGCCGCGUGAGGGAUGACGGCCUUCGGGUUGUAAACCUCUUUCAGCUCCGACGAAGCGAAAGUGACUGUAGGAGCAGAAGAAGCACCGGCUAACUACGUGCCAGCCGCCGCCGUAACAC
This 483-nucleotide ribosomal RNA is filed under the name uncultured bacterium. RNAcentral's name for it is "bacterial SSU rRNA". It matches the Rfam family "Bacterial small subunit ribosomal RNA", at positions 28 to 526 of the family's 1533-position model. The record is from RNAcentral.